This 116-nucleotide small nuclear RNA is filed under the name Erinaceus europaeus (western European hedgehog). RNAcentral describes it as "U5 spliceosomal RNA". It matches the Rfam family "U5 spliceosomal RNA". From Rfam's summary of the family: U5 RNA is a component of both types of known spliceosome. The precise function of this molecule is unknown, though it is known that the 5' loop is required for splice site selection and p220 binding, and that both the 3' stem-loop and the Sm site are important for Sm protein binding and cap methylation. The record is from Rfam by way of RNAcentral. Lineage: Eukaryota; Metazoa; Chordata; Mammalia; Eulipotyphla; Erinaceidae.
AUGCUCUGGUUUCUCUUCAGAUUGCACAAAUCUUUCGCCUUUUGCUAAAGAUUUCCAUGGAGAGGAGCAAAUCUGAGUUUCACUUCAAUUUUUUGAAACCCUAUUAUGCCAGGGUU